GAUGAACGCUAGCUACAGGCUUAACACAUGCAAGUCGAGGGGAAACGACAUCGAAAGCUUGCUUUUGAUGGGCGUCGACCGGCGCACGGGUGAGUAACGCGUAUCCAACCUGCCCACCACUUGGGGAUAACCUUGCGAAAGUAAGACUAAUACCCAAUGAUAUCUCUAGAAGACAUCUGAAAGGGAUUAAAGAUUUAUCGGUGAUGGAUGGGGAUGCGUCUGAUUAGCUUGUUGGCGGGGUAACGGCCCACCAAGGCGACGAUCAGUAGGGGUUCUGAGAGGAAGGUCCCCCACAUUGGAACUGAGACACGGUCCAAACUCCUACGGGAGGCAGCAGUGAGGAAUAUUGGUCAAUGGGCGAGAGCCUGAACCAGCCAAGUAGCGUGCAGGAUGACGGCCCUAUGGAUUGUAAACUGCUUUUAUAAGGGAAUAAAGUGGGAGUCGUGACUCUUUUUGCAUGUACCUUAUGAAUAAGGACCGGCUAAUUCCGUGCCAGCCGCCGCAGUAA
Molecule: ribosomal RNA, 508 nt
Filed under: uncultured bacterium
Lineage: Bacteria
Description: partial 16S ribosomal RNA
Rfam family: Bacterial small subunit ribosomal RNA
Source: RNAcentral